This 208-nucleotide ribosomal RNA is filed under the name uncultured euryarchaeote. RNAcentral describes it as "partial 16S ribosomal RNA". It matches the Rfam family "Archaeal small subunit ribosomal RNA", at positions 518 to 725 of the family's 1478-position model. Lineage: Archaea; Methanobacteriati; Methanobacteriota. The record is from RNAcentral.
UUCGUAGCUGGUUUGUUAAGUCUCUGGGGAAAUCUUCCGGCUUAACCGGAAGGCGUCUCAGGGAUACUGGCAGACUAGGGACCGGAAGAGGUGAGGGGUACUCCAGGGGUAGGAGUGAAAUCCUGUAAUCCUUGGGGGACCACCUGUGGCGAAGGCGCCUCACCAGAACGGCUCCGACAGUGAGGGACGAAAGCUGGGGGAGCAAACC